AGAUGUGUGAAUUACUGGAUACACACUAGCAUGUUUGCUGAAUUCUGACCCACCCCUCUUUGUUACUAAGAUUUGCAGAUCAGUCAAAAUGAUCUCCGAUUCAAACUGAUGCAGAAAAAUGCCCAGAAACGAGCUCAGAGCGAUGAAGGUAGCACUAUGGAUCUUCGUGAAAAGCUCUCCAGGAGCGAGCAGCCUCCACGUAGCCUUGAUACUCGACCUCGUAUGGCUGAGCUGAGAGAUGUCCCUUUACCUUCAUCAAGAACUGCUCGUGGUUCCUCUCAGAUGAUUUCAUCAAGUAGUUCAUAUCCUCCAUGGUCCCUGGAAGAUUUAAGACGAAGGUCUCCAGAGAGAUUUAUGGAUACUUCCAGGGGUCCAUCCCCGCCAAGAAAUGCUGGACGUACCAUUGGCAUUCCAAGGGGUCCAUCCCCCCCAAGAAAUGCUGGAAGAUUUAUUGGCACUCCAAGGGAUCUAUCACCGCCAAGAAAUACUAGAAGGAUCAUCGCCUCACCAAGGGAUCUAUCACCGCACAGAAAUGCUGGAAGGAUAAUUGGCACUCCAAGGGAUAGAUCACCUCCAAGAAAUGCUGGAAGGAUAAUUGGCACUCCAAGGGAUAGAUCACCGCCAAGAAAUGCUGGAAGGAUAAUUGGCUCUCCAAGGGAUAGAUCACCUCCAAGAAAUUCCGGAAGGAUAAUUGGCACUCCAAGGGAUAGAUCACCUCCAAGAAAUGCUGGAAGGAGAUUUGAGUCUCCAAGGGAUCUAUCACCGCCAAGGAGCACAAGAAGCUUCAGUAGUGGUUCUAGGGCUCUGUCUCCCACUAGAAAUGUAGGAAGCUACAUGGGUUCUUCUCUGGGGUUUUCACCUCCUAGGAAUCCUGGAAGCUACAUGGGUUCUUCUAGGGGUUCUCCACGUAGUAACAUUGAAGAUUUUCAUGGACGAAGCAGGAUGCUUGAUGAUGUGAGAGCGACACCAUAUACUGUUAGAGGUGUACUAAAUGGUCAAGCCCCAGCAAGUGGUGCUCCUUUCGCCAGGCCAAUGUUACCGCCUCCAGUCCCAAACCCACAUCCGUUGCCUCCUUUGAGCCAGCUUCCUCCACUUGGAAGUAUGAUGCAGAACAAUCCCUUCUCUGUAAGAUCUUUUAUCUACAUCUCAAUUUGUGGAUGAAUUUUCUCUCUUCUUGCUCUUUCUAAACUUUGGGUGAGUCCUUCAUAUGUACCUUGUGUCAUUCGUAGGCCAAAAACCUUUGUGGUCAGAUAGUCCAAACUUUUAUGCCUUGUUCAUAUACAUGUUGUAAUAUGUCAUGUAUAUCUGCUUGGUGUUACAUUAGG
This 1325-nucleotide long non-coding RNA is filed under the name Capsella grandiflora. RNAcentral's name for it is "long non-coding RNA (CGRA_LNC000063)". The record is from RNAcentral. Lineage: Eukaryota; Viridiplantae; Streptophyta; Magnoliopsida; Brassicales; Brassicaceae.